This 85-nucleotide transfer RNA is filed under the name Felis catus (domestic cat). It matches the Rfam family "tRNA". Rfam says of the family: Transfer RNA (tRNA) molecules are approximately 80 nucleotides in length. The record is from Rfam by way of RNAcentral. Lineage: Eukaryota; Metazoa; Chordata; Mammalia; Carnivora; Felidae.
GCCUGGGUGGCUCAGUCAGUUUAGCAUCUGACUUCAGAUCAGGUCAUGAUCUCACGGUUCAUGGGUUCAAGCCCCAUGCUGGGCU